Molecule: small nucleolar RNA, 132 nt
Organism: Otolemur garnettii (small-eared galago)
Lineage: Eukaryota; Metazoa; Chordata; Mammalia; Primates; Galagidae
Source: Ensembl
AGGAUUUUGUGCUCAGGGCAGGAGGCCUAAAGAAUGGCUCCUAUGUUUAACACACCCAACAGGAAUCUGAGGUCAUUAUGAUGAGGGGCACACAAAACUUGUGGCCUCCCUAUGAACAAAUUCCCUACAUGU